CGCAUGACGUAACUGGCAUUGGUCUCCAGAAGGUGUAACCCUUUUCAGGAUCAAUGCAGUGUCCAUCUUUAAGUUCGCAGGCGGCUCCUUAUUUCAAAUGUAUUUUUCCUAAUGCUAAGUGUACUGAUUGCAUUCUCCGGAGUCCAGAAGUGAAACAGAUGUAACGUUGAGGUGAUGACCUCCGCAAUCAUAGCCGAUCAAUGCAAAGGUUGAAGUUGUUAGCAGUAACAGAAGGGUAAUAGGAAUCAUCGUCGUUUCUCUCUUGUGUAUGCAGAAUGGAAUUAAAGGCAUAGAGGGUAUCGCUCGGGCGCUUAUAUAUAAUGUGUGAGUAUACAGUAAGAUAUAUACAUAUAUUCAUGCUAUGUAUUCUA
Dinoponera quadriceps is the source of this 371-nucleotide long non-coding RNA. RefSeq lists it as uncharacterized. The record is from RefSeq and is a predicted model, not a curated record. NCBI's taxonomy places the organism in Eukaryota, Metazoa, Arthropoda, Insecta, Hymenoptera, Formicidae. The transcript has 3 exons.